ACGUGAAAACGCCCCGGACUGCGGCUGCGCCGCUUACCCGCACACAGACGGUUGGCAGAGGAAGAAAGCCUUGUCACACUAAAGGAGAGACAGCGGAUGUUCUGAACAGUCCUGUCGUGAAACGUUAGACAACGUGGACGAAACAGGCACAUUCCUAAGCAUCACACAUUACUGAAACUCAGUCAAGAAGAAAUAGAAAAUCUGAAUACAUCCAUGGCAAGCACAGAAACUGAACUAGGGGAUUCGAAAUCUUCCCACAAAGAAAAGCCUAGGCCCAACUGGCCUCUAUGUUUCAGACUUUGGACAACAUGUAGCCCAGGACAGUGAUCCCUGAGAAAAGGAAGACAAAUGAGGUGACACUGUGAUAGACCCAGAUCAACGCCUGGAAAAAGUUUCAAAGCUACAAUGUGAGGAGUGGGGACAAAACAGUCUAGUGGCUUUGCUGAGUGGAGAAGGCAAGUACUGGAGUCCAGGCAAAGUAUUGGUGAAGGUGGAGCCCUGGAGAAAAAGAACUCUAGAGAUCUGUAAGAGGCUCUCCUUGAAACUUCUACUGAGCACAGUUCUGCACAUGCAUGUAUAGAAUUUACUCAAGAUGAAGAAAGAACCAACGAAAAAAAGCAUAGUAUAAUGCUGAGAACUCAUAAAAUCGAGUAGGAAAUCUUGCCUAUUGAAAGAGCAUUGAGACAGAGUCCUCAGAAGGAAUUUUCUCAGUGGUGGGAACAAAUUAGCUAUAAACCCAAGUUUGCUCUGAUAUUGCUAUAACAAAGCUUAAAAGCAACUCUCAAAAGGCUCAAACUGAGUACAAAACAUCUAAUUGUAACCCAGGGUACUUCCCAACAGUAUUCAAGGGAAUAAAAUAUUUUGUGUAUAUUUUGUAUUACAGGAA
RNAcentral lists this long non-coding RNA (886 nucleotides) under Homo sapiens (human). Its description in RNAcentral is "novel transcript". Lineage: Eukaryota; Metazoa; Chordata; Mammalia; Primates; Hominidae. The record is from RNAcentral.